AGUGAACGCUGGCGGUAGGCCUAACACAUGCAAGUCGAACGGCAGCACAGUAAGAGCUUGCUCUUACGGGUGGCGAGUGGCGGACGGGUGAGGAAUACAUCGGAAUCUAUUUUUUCGUGGGGGAUAACGUAGGGAAACUUACGCUAAUACCGCAUACGACCUACGGGUGAAAGCAGGGGAUCUUCGGACCUUGCGCGAUUGAAUGAGCCGAUGUCGGAUUAGCUAGUUGGCGGGGUAAAGGCCCACCAAGGCGACGAUCCGUAGCUGGGCUGAGAGGAUGAUUAGCCACACUGGAACUGAGACGCGGUCCAGACUCCUACGGGAGGCAGCAGUGGGGAAUAUUGGACAAUGGGCGCAAGCCUGAUCCAGCCAUACCGCGUGGAUGAAGAAGGCCUUCGGGUUGUAAAGCCCUUUUGUUGGGAAAGAAAAGCAGCAGGUUAAUACCCCGCUGUUCUGACGGUACCCAAAGAAUAAGCACCGGCUAACUUC
Molecule: ribosomal RNA, 489 nt
Filed under: uncultured bacterium
Lineage: Bacteria
Description: partial 16S ribosomal RNA
Rfam family: Bacterial small subunit ribosomal RNA
Source: RNAcentral